GAUGAACGCUAGCGGCAGGCUUAAUACAUGCAAGUCAAGGGGCAGCAUGAGUGUAGCAAUACAUUUGAUGGCGACCGGCAAACGGGUGCGGAACACGUACACAACCUUCCUUUAAGUGGGGAAUAGCCCAGAGAAAUUUGGAUUAAUACCCCGUAACAUUAUGAUGUGGCAUCACAUUAUAAUUAUAGCUCAGGCGCUUAAUGAUGGGUGUGCGGCUGAUUAGGUAGUUGGCGGGGUAACGGCCCACCAAGCCUGCGAUCAGUAACUGGUGUGAGAGCACGACCAGUCACACGGGCACUGAGACACGGGCCCGACUCCUACGGGAGGCAGCAGUAAGGAAUAUUGGGCAAUGGAGGGCAACUCUGACCCAGCCAUGCCGCGGUGGAGGAUGAAGAUCCUCUGGAUUGUUAAACUUCUUUUAUAGUGGGACGAAAAAGGGUCUUUUCUAGGUCAACUGGACGGUACCAUAUGAAUAAGCACCGGCUAACUCC
Molecule: ribosomal RNA, 491 nt
Filed under: uncultured bacterium
Lineage: Bacteria
Description: bacterial SSU rRNA
Rfam family: Bacterial small subunit ribosomal RNA
Source: RNAcentral